This 922-nucleotide long non-coding RNA is filed under the name Cottoperca gobio. RNAcentral describes it as "lncRNA (ENSCGOG00000020734.1)". The record is from RNAcentral. Lineage: Eukaryota; Metazoa; Chordata; Actinopteri; Perciformes; Bovichtidae.
GAUAACUUAUAGACGAAUCAUAAAUAUUGAGAGAUAGAUAGAAUUUAGAGUUGCAUUCUUGUAAAAAUGAAGAUAACAUCUGACCUGCUGAUCUAGUUUCACACCUUAUAAAUUAUCUUGCAGGGAAAUGCAGAUCACAGAACAUUUCUUCCAAGUAUCAGAACUGUGGGAUACACCGAGAUGGAGUCCAUGAUUUAGAUUGUUUUGGUAAACUUAAAUCACCUGGAAUAAAAGACUGUGUGUGGAAACCUGGAAACCGCACAUCAGCAAAGACAUACACACUCAUUAUACAACAACAGUAAGAUUUCUUCUUCUUACAUGAAAUUAAAAAAAGAAUUUAAACUAUAAACGUCUAAUUUUUGAAAGCUUUCCUCCUUCUAGAAGUAAACAUUGCAAAGAAUACUACAACAUCACUGAAGUCUCGAAAAGUAUCAAAUUAUUUGAAAAUUACAACAUGACUGCUGAGGUUUUUGAAAACAGCGAGUCAACACAUUGCACAAAAGCAGUUUUCAAAGGUUCACCCAAGAGCUUGGGUAAGUCCACAAACAUGUAUUUUCAUGAGCAAUAUCUCUAUUUGAUGAUAAAUCUCUGACUGAAUAUUGGUGUUUUUAAAAAAAUAUUUCAGUGCGAUGUGGUCCUCCAUAUAACGCGUCCUUCAGCCGCCACUCUGGAAGAAUAGUUGUGAAUGUGAGCUGGCAAAAGGAGGAGAUAAGAGCCAUUCAGUAUUACUCUGUGAGAUAUAAAGCACUGGGCAGCCUGUCAUGGAGCAAGUCACUCGUCCAAUCCCAAAAUGGGGAGACAUGUACAGUGGAGAAUGUAAACGCCUCCCUGGUCUACACUGUACAGAUACAGUGUGUCACUAAUGAUAAAUGCUCACAGUGUGCACGGAGUGAAGCCUACACUGUCCCAUCAGAACUGACUA